RNAcentral lists this ribosomal RNA (497 nucleotides) under uncultured bacterium. RNAcentral describes it as "partial 16S ribosomal RNA". It matches the Rfam family "Bacterial small subunit ribosomal RNA", at positions 28 to 507 of the family's 1533-position model. The record is from RNAcentral.
GAUGAACGCUGGCGGCGUGCCUAAUACAUGCAAGUCGAGCGAACAGACGAGGAGCUUGCUCCUUUGACGUUAGCGGCGGACGGGUGAGUAAAACGUGGGUAACCUACCUAUAAGACUGGGAUAACUUCGGGAAACCGGAGCUAAUACCGGAUAAUAUUUCGAACCGCAUGGUUCGAUAGUGAAAGAUGGCUUUGCUAUCACUUAUAGAUGGACCUGCGCCGUAUUAGCUAGUUGGUAAGGUAACGGCUUACCAAGGCAACGAUACGUAGCCGACCUGAGAGGGUGAUCGGCCACACUGGAACUGAGACACGGUCCAGACUCCUACGGGAGGCAGCAGUAGGGAAUCUUCCGCAAUGGGCGAAAGCCUGACGGAGCAACGCCGCGUAAGUGAUGAAGGUCUUCGGAUCGUAAAACUCUGUUAUUAGGGAAGAACAAACGUGUAAGUAACUGUGCACGUCUUGACGGUACCUAAUCAGAAAGCCACGGCUAACUACGUG